RNAcentral lists this long non-coding RNA (336 nucleotides) under Vicia faba (fava bean). The record is from RNAcentral. Lineage: Eukaryota; Viridiplantae; Streptophyta; Magnoliopsida; Fabales; Fabaceae.
GAACGCGCUGAACGAUGGCGUCCUAAUGGCGUCAUUGUCGUUGUCAUUGCUGGAGGAGAGAAGCUGACCAGGAACUCCAACGUGACGCGGAAGAGGAAUGGAAUUCCUGGUAGGAUUCUUACCGCUCAAGGAGCAGAUCCCUCAGGAGGUCGUCCAAAGCCCGAAUCCGGUCUCGGGUAUUUUGCAUGUUGCCACCCGCUCCAGAUUGAUGAGCGAACGACGGGGAUUGAACCCGCGCGUGGUGGAUUCACAAUCCACUGCCUUGAUCCACUUAGAUACAUCCUCCCCUACCCCCGCAUUGGUUUUAGUCUCUAUCUACGAUCAGAUUAUUUCUGA